RNAcentral lists this ribosomal RNA (394 nucleotides) under uncultured bacterium. Its description in RNAcentral is "bacterial SSU rRNA". It matches the Rfam family "Bacterial small subunit ribosomal RNA", at positions 775 to 1174 of the family's 1533-position model. The record is from RNAcentral.
GGAUUAGAAACCCGGGUAGUCCACGCCCUAAACGAUGUUCACUAGGUGUCGGGGGGUAACCUUCGGUGCCGCAGCUAACGCAUUAAGUGAACCGCCUGGGGACUACGGCCGCAAGGUUGAAACUCAAAGGAAUUGGCGGGGGACCGCACAAGCGGUGGAGCAUGUGGCUUAAUUCGAUGCAACGCGAAGAACCUUACCAGGGCUUGACAUGUAUCUGCAAGCGAUAGAAAUAUCGUCGCCUUCGAGGGUGAUACACAGGUGGUGCAUGGCUGUCGUCAGCUCGUGUUGUGAAAUGUUGGGUUAAGUCCCGCAACGAGCGCAACCCUCAUUGUCUGUUGCCAGCGAGUAAUGUCGGGAACUCGGACGAAACUGCCUCUGUAAGGAGGAGGAAGGU